GAUUAAGAUUUUGUAUUGCUCAAUUUAAGUUCAAUAAGUAACAUAGAUCACAAAGUUUGCUAAUUUAUAUUGAUGCUUUAAGACUCCUUACAUGACGUUUCCGCAACACACCCGAGGUCAAAGUUCGUAUAUAUUAAAAUGCAACAAUGUGUAUAGUUCGUUAUUGAGGAUAAUGUAUAGAUUAUUUUACAUAGGGAAAGAUAUUUAUACGCUAUAGUUAAUUGUAACUGUUUAAUUUCAACUUAUGUUUACAUUAAAUGACAUCCUUAAGCCAACUUUACUAAUAUUGAUCGCUAUUUUCGUGUUAUACAUCUAUAAUCAUCUUGUUGUUAAAGAUUUGAAGCUUUGCUGCGAUAAUACAGCAGAGAAUUAUUCUCAUUAUGAUUUGGUCGUUGGAAUACUUUCAUCGCGCGGCAACUUUGAUUUGAGGCAAAGUUUACGUGAAUCAUGGGUUGGCUAUGCAAGACGACAUUCAUCUCUAAAUAAAAGAGUGUUGGUGAAGUUCAUCGUUUCAAAUAAUGCAUGUUACGUUCCUCCAGAGUUCAGGAUUGAUCCUUACAAAUGCGAGAGAAAGAAAAUCGAAUCUCCAAACUACGAAAAUGAAGUAAUUGCUUACAAACGACCAAAUGAAGAAAAUUUGAGAUAUUUUCACAGUGGAUCUAUCGGAUGGGACUUUGAUAUCAUCCGUCCCAUUAUUUUGACUCGUCUUGGCAUCUCUUUAUCAUCGUUGAAUUCAAAAAGAAACUCUUCUGUUCGACUCUACGACAGAACAACUAAGAGCGAAAUUAUAUCUGUUUAUUUCUCUUUCCAAGACCCUGGUACAACAGAAAACGGUUCGUCGUUUAAAGCAAUUGAAAACUUUAUUUUGCCAAAGGACUUCAAGGGCAGCGUCGUGUCUGAAAACGUAAAAUGUUCAAGUUCUCGAUGCAGAAAAUGCGAGUAUUUUGCCAACAUUGAAAACGGAGAGGAUUAUUUCAAUGUACACAAGAUAAGACGGAUUAACAACGAGUUCGCCGUCUUUCCCGAAGUCGAGGAAUCAAUUCCUGAUGCUAGAUGCGUGGAUGGGGCUGGAACGUUCAUGUAUCGACUUUACAGGUGGUUUCUUGCAAUGAAGUGCAAAGUACACAUGCAUGUACGUAAUAAAUUGGAUGGCUGUCUCUAUGCGAUCAAAAGAAGUCAUAUGAAUCCGAAAAGUUAACUGUUUAACCGUAAAAUCACUCGAAAUGUAAAGUUACUUUCUAGAUUGAACCGUGAAAAUAAGCAAUCCAGUAUCAGACUCUCUUAAAUUAUUUGCUGAAAAUGAAAUGAUGCUUACCGUAUCAUGGCAAUGAUAGCGAGACGAAACUUGGCGUAAGUUAUUUCCUUUGGGAAAUUCAAACUACCUGAAGACACUUGCCUUUGUACAUAUGCAACAUAAUAUUUGUACAUAGGUAAACUGAACAAGAAUAAAAA
Xenia sp. Carnegie-2017 is the source of this 1452-nucleotide RNA transcript. It is a transcript of the gene named UDP-GalNAc:beta-1,3-N-acetylgalactosaminyltransferase 2-like, with no coding region annotated. The transcript is spliced from 11 exons. NCBI's taxonomy places the organism in Eukaryota, Metazoa, Cnidaria, Anthozoa, Malacalcyonacea, Xeniidae. The record is from RefSeq and is a predicted model, not a curated record.